This is a long non-coding RNA of Tarenaya hassleriana, 995 nucleotides long. RefSeq lists it as uncharacterized. The transcript is spliced from 3 exons. The record is from RefSeq and is a predicted model, not a curated record. Lineage: Eukaryota; Viridiplantae; Streptophyta; Magnoliopsida; Brassicales; Cleomaceae.
GAGUUCAAACAAAAAUCCGACCGGAAUCAUUGCGACGCCGUUUUUGUACUCCUUAGAAAAGGCCCAGUCCAAGUGCGACAGGGCCGGAACGCCGCGACUCGUCGGUGAACACGAACAAGGCGUUGACGGAGACGCCAUUUUCCGACCUGUACUCACUAAUCUCCGGCGAGAUCCUGGAGGCUCUCUUACAAUCGUUGUUCGACUUCUGCAAUCCGUUUCAGGCCGCGACUAUCACCUUGCUCUGCAGUAACAAGGAUGUCGCCGUCGACGCGCCGCCGACUCCGGGAUAACCCUAGCUUUCCUCGUCCCUCCCCUUGAAAUCAUCUGCUGCUGCUCCUCCUCCUACCCUUCCAAACCUCGCCAGAUAAGAUCGGCGGCACAAAAGGACUGAGAGCAGUGAUGGAGAAAAAGGUCUAAAAGAAUUUGUUUCUUGCAUCCGUGCCUAUAAAGAUCAUCACUGCUCUUACAUUUUCAGAUGGAAAGAACUUGAGAUUGGAAAGUUGGAAAUGGGAUAUGUGGGCUUUUGCAGCAUCCUUCAAUGUCUGAAAUGAAAAAUUCACAAACUUUCCACUGAGGGUUUCACCCACCAUUCUGAAAGGCGUCGACUUUGAGGACAUAAGAUACAAGUAUGCCUCAUCCAGAAACUCUUUAUUAACAUUUUCAUUAUUAUGCUCUCUUGAGACAGAGGAGAGGUAUAUAAUUUAACACUGGUUCUGUUGUUAAAGAGAACCUCUCUCUCUCUCUCUCUCAGCAUGUAAAAAGCAAUGUUUCUUCCUUUUCCCCUUCCCUAAACAUGUGAAAUUGGUGUAGCUCUCAUAAAGUUUUCUUUCUGCGUACACAAUGAGAAGAGCAUCUCUCUCUCUCUCUCUCUCAAAGAACAAAAAAUCUCGAAGCCAUAGACUUCUACCUCUGUCAGCAUGUACAAGCAAGGUUUCUUCUUUUUCUUAUUCCCUAAACAUGUGAAAUUGGAGUAGUUCUCUUAAAUUUUCUUUCUG